GUUAUGGUCAAUUUUAGGGUUUGAUUUAACUUAAUUAAACAUUGUAUUCUGGUGUGUUUAAGUAGGAUUCCUUAUUCCGGGACGGAUGGAAGUUAUCUAAAAUAUGUAAAUUGAAGGAGCCAUGGGAGAAUGCGUUUACAUUUUUAUUAAAUAUCUGGGAUUAAAUGACGGAUUUCUUACACUGAGAAAUGUACGACAUUUGCGGCAGAGGGAAAAAGUAAUACAUUGGAUAAUAAUGUUAUCAGGUUAAUUGUAUCUAAGGGUAGCAUUGGAUAAUAAUGUUAUCAGGUUAAUUGUAUCUAAGGGUAGCAUUGUAUAAUAAUGUUAUCAGGUUAAUUGUAUCUAAGGGAAGCAUUGUAUAAUAAUGUUAUCAGGUUAAUUGUAUCUAAGGGAAGCAUUGGAUAAUAAUGUUAUCAGGUUAAUUGUAUCUAAGGGAAGCAUUGGAUAAUAAUGUUAUCAGGUUAAUUGUAUCUAAGGGGAACAUUGGAUAAUAAUGUUAUCAGGUUAAUUGUAUCUAAGGGAAGCAUGUUCAUUUAAGUAAACAUAUACAUUGACGUUGUUUAAAACUUAUGAUUAAUGAUUUGAGUUAAAGGGGAAUCAUCAUUAGGUUUAGUUUAUAGUUCACUUUUGAGUUUCUGAAUCGAAGUAGAAAAUUGAUGUUUAGGUGUCUCACUUUUAGAUGUUUCCUGGGAUUAUAAUCUUGGGGAGAGUGGGUGAGAUUGAG
Molecule: long non-coding RNA, 724 nt
Organism: Oncorhynchus tshawytscha (Chinook salmon)
Lineage: Eukaryota; Metazoa; Chordata; Actinopteri; Salmoniformes; Salmonidae
Source: Ensembl